GCCGGGUGCGGUGGCGUGUGCCUGUAGUCCCAGCUACUCAGGAGGCUGAGGUGGGAGGAUCGCUUGAGCCCAGGAGUUCUGGGCUGUAGUACACUAUGCUGAUCGGGUGUCCGCACUAAGUUUGGCAUCAAUAUGCUGACCUCCCAGGAGCGGGGGACCACCAGGGUUGCCUAAGGAGGGGCGAACCGGCCCAGGUCAGAAACGGAGCAGGUCAAAACUCCCGUGCUGAUCAGUAGUGAGAUUUGGCCGCCUGUGAAUAAGCCACUGCAAACUCCACCUGGGCAAAAACUCAACUAU
Molecule: signal recognition particle RNA, 297 nt
Filed under: Aotus nancymaae (Ma's night monkey)
Lineage: Eukaryota; Metazoa; Chordata; Mammalia; Primates; Aotidae
Description: Metazoan signal recognition particle RNA (ENSANAG00000010405.1)
Rfam family: Metazoan signal recognition particle RNA
About the family: The signal recognition particle (SRP) is a universally conserved ribonucleoprotein. It is involved in the co-translational targeting of proteins to membranes. The eukaryotic SRP consists of a 300-nucleotide 7S RNA and six proteins: SRPs 72, 68, 54, 19, 14, and 9.
Source: Rfam by way of RNAcentral